CCCUUAGAUGUUCUGGGCCGCACGCGCGCUACACUGACGAAUGCAACGAGCUUAUAACCUUGGCCGAAAGGUCUGGGUAAUCUCCAAAUUUCGUCGUGAUGGGGAUAGAUUAUUGCAAUUAUUAAUCUUCAACGAGGAAUGCCUAGUAAGCGCAAGUCAUCAGCUUGCGUUGAUUACGUCCCUGCCCUUUGUACACACCGCCCGUCGCUCCUACCGAUUGAAUGGUCCGGUGAAGCGUUCGGACCGUGGCCUUUGGACGGUUCGCCGUCUGUUGGGUGCGGGAAGUUCGUUAAACCUUAUCAUUUAGAGGAAGGAGAAGUCGUAACA
This 327-nucleotide ribosomal RNA is filed under the name uncultured eukaryote. RNAcentral describes it as "partial 18S ribosomal RNA". It matches the Rfam family "Eukaryotic small subunit ribosomal RNA", at positions 1470 to 1796 of the family's 1831-position model. The record is from RNAcentral.